CCUACGGGAGGCAGCAGUGAGGAAUAUUGGUCAAUGGGCGCGAGCCUGAACCAGCCAAGUAGCGUGAAGGAUGACUGCCCUACGGGUUGUAAACCUCUUUUAUAGAGGAAUAAAGCGAGGCACGUGUGCCUCUUUGUAUGUACCCUAUGAAUAAGCAUCGGCUAACUCCGUGCCAGCAGCCGCGGUAAUACGGAGGAUCCGAGCGUUAUCCGGAUUUAUUGGGUUUAAAGGGUGCGCAGGUGGGUUGUUAAGUCAGGUGUGAAAGUUUGCGGCUCAACCGGCAAAUUGCAGUUGAAACUGGCAGCCUUGAGUGCAGGAGAAGUAGGCGGAAUGCGUGGUGUAGCGGUGAAAUGCUUAGAUAUCACGAAGAACUCCGAUUGCGAAGGCAGCAUACUGGAGUGCAACUGACGUUGAUGCACGAAAGUGUGGGUAUCGAACAGGAUUAGAUACCCGAGUAGUC
This 460-nucleotide ribosomal RNA is filed under the name uncultured bacterium. RNAcentral's name for it is "partial 16S ribosomal RNA". It matches the Rfam family "Bacterial small subunit ribosomal RNA", at positions 338 to 795 of the family's 1533-position model. The record is from RNAcentral.